Long non-coding RNA from Panicum virgatum (switchgrass), 1813 nucleotides. RefSeq lists it as uncharacterized. Lineage: Eukaryota; Viridiplantae; Streptophyta; Magnoliopsida; Poales; Poaceae. The transcript is spliced from 2 exons. The record is from RefSeq and is a predicted model, not a curated record.
GGGAUGGAGCAGGUAGCUCCUUAGCUGUGACACCGAGGAGUGCAAAACUGGGCAGUCUCAGCAACGCCGGCGCGGAUCCAUCUUGUGGUGGCAGCGCAGCCACACGAGCGCGCGGGCGCCCUUGGGCGACGGCUCGCGCGCCAGCCUUUCUGUCUCUGAGCGCUGCAGCAUCUCCCACAUCACCUGCACGUCCUCGUAUGCGCACAUCUGGAUGUCGUCGUGCAGCUUCACAAGGGUGCCGCGGCCGUCUGAAUCAAAAGAAACAGGUAUCAGUAUCAGCACAUCGCACACCGGUACGGUUAUUCGCCCGGUUAAAGAGUAUAGGGAAAGAAAACAAAAUGAUCGAGUAUAUAGUGAGCUGAGCGCAGUUGAUCAGCUAUUUUCUGCAUAAAGGUAACAGUUAAGUGGUAUAGGAGGCUAAUUGAUAUUGAUACAGGUAAACUUUUAGUCUCUCUUGUGUGAGCGUGACAGGGGAAUGAAAGAUGUGAUGCUUCUGGGCUUCUGGCAGUCCAUUCCGGGACCGCCUGAAAGAUGCUAUGGCGCGGCUGCUGGGGCACGUGUUGGUCUCGGCUGCCGCUCGCUGUCCGUGCACUGCUCGUAUCCUCGCAGCAGCACCAGCAACAGACUCUCUUCGGGAGUCACGGGGAACAUCAAGCGCGUGGUCAGAUAGUCAGACAGGUCAGUUUCUCUGUUUAUACCAAACAAAGGUCCGAAACUCUCGUGAUUUUUCCUUUAGAAAAAAGAGAAAGAAAUCUCGUGAUUCAUGCAUGCCCCUGCUGAUCGUAUGUUAUACUAUCCCUAAUAAGCAAACAAGCAUGGGUUUAAAUCGAUUUUUAUAGUCUAUAUAUAAGCUGGACUUCUAGAAGACACUUGUAAUAUGCUUUGUCUAGGGAGAUGGAUCAUGGAUGGACGCCGUGCCAUACACUGACACACCUGAAUGUUUGGCGUACGCGCCACGCACCUCCACAUGAGAAAGUGACCCACGUCGUAAUUAUUGAUUAAACUAUGCAUGCGUAGGCGUGUGACGUCGACAACAACUACCAAUUGACACUAAGCACAUCUCAAGGGCCAAAAGCCAAUCAGUAAACUACAACAGUUUGUCCUAGACUGACGUGUGCGGGCUCUGCAGGAUCGUGACAAGUGCGCGUAGACACGUGCCCCUGAUGCAACGAAAUGGGUACAAACCUGGUGAUGCAGUCAGAUUGCAGUGAUCUUGCUGAAAAGAAAAGGAAAGGAACCCACCAACCAUUGAAGUUCCUUCUCGUCCUUGGAUCAGCAGAAGAACUGAUCAUGCUGAUUCUUAUUAUUAGCAAGGGCACAAUUGAAGCAUGCCACGGAGGCGUCGCUUCCAGAAGCUGCAGGACAAUUAAACGGAGGCGACGCAUUGUCGCACUGAUGCUGGUGUGUGUUCGUCGGUGCAGGAGCGGGAGCCUGGCCGGAGCGUAGCGCGCGGGGGGAGGCUGGUUGGUUGAUGUGCAGGUGUCACUCAUGCUGCCGCGCUCAUCUCUGAUCCGAUUUUAUUUUGGUUAUUUCCUACACGAUCCAGUGCAUCACAAGCCUAUAUAUAUAGGCUAUAUAUAUAAAUAUGUAUAUUAUUAUACUAAGGUUUCUAUCAAUCUGGAUCAUGACGUCUGCCGGGUUUGCCGCCCAGCACGAGAUAGCCUGGCUGCUGUCGGUUUAUGUUGCAGCGUCAUGGCCUACCUGCUGCCACACUCUUUGAAGAGUCCGGCUCCUGUUGGCCAUGCAUGCAUGCAUCCUCAAAUUAAAUAAAUGAAACGAAUGCUAUGUCUCGCGCCAAUCUAGCAUUUCUUUA